This 420-nucleotide unclassified non-coding RNA is filed under the name Hevea brasiliensis (rubber tree). The record is from RNAcentral. Lineage: Eukaryota; Viridiplantae; Streptophyta; Magnoliopsida; Malpighiales; Euphorbiaceae.
CAUUGAACAAGGCCAUGCGAAAUCGACCGCGCCCGAGCAGGACGAAUUUCGCUGGAGAAUGCCAAUGAGUGAAAGCGUCUCGGUCAAGUGAACGGAUGCAGUUCCUUCCGCAGUUCAUCNNNNNNNNNNNNNUCAGAGAGAUUGAUCGUCUAUUCAUCCAAGGUCUCGCGCAUAAUCCCGAUGACCGUGCGGUCUGCCACAACCAUCGUCAACUCCGCAGGAUUUGCGAAACGCUGCGUGCAGAACGGGUCAUCUGGAGGCGUAACAUUUGUUCGAGGGGCGCUGCGGUAAUGGUGCGGUAAUGUGGAUCGAUAGACUGCCGCCGGUACUUCGGACAGGAGGCUGCAUGAAGAAGGCAAUCAUAUUUGCGCUUGCGUCAAUGGUGGGGCUUGGAUCGUUGCCAUCCAUGGCGCGUGCCGG